RNAcentral lists this long non-coding RNA (919 nucleotides) under Mus caroli (Ryukyu mouse). Its description in RNAcentral is "lncRNA (MGP_CAROLIEiJ_G0003273.1)". The record is from RNAcentral. Lineage: Eukaryota; Metazoa; Chordata; Mammalia; Rodentia; Muridae.
GGUUUAGAGGACGUAGGGGCCAAGGGAACCCCCAGUGCCUUCCACCCCCUUCCAGGGCCACUUUGGCCCGCGCUGCAACCAACGGUCCUGCCGCCAGGCAAUUUAGCCCUGUCUAGGGAGAGAGCACCGGGGGUCCCAGGUUUCCCAACCUAGAUCCUGGCUCCCCUCUCCCAAGACCGCUGUGACCCCGACCGAGACGGGGUAGGGGUGGGAACCGCAGCCCUGAUCCCGAGCAGGAGGGCCGCAGUCACCCUGCCCCCACCCGGGAGCCCCGCGCCCAGGCCCGGCCCCCGCGCUCCUCACCUGGGAUGUUACUCGCAGCCUCCGAGCUCGGCGACACCUAUGCCUUAAAUCGCGCGUGAGACCACGCCGGGGAAAAAGUUUCAUAAGGUGGAAUAGAAAAGGCACCAGGAAACUUGGGAGUGAGCAUGCGCCCUGCAACAUAACGGUGUCAACAAGCUCGCUACCUGUCCGACCGGUUCCGGCGGCCGGGGCUGCCUGAUCCAGCCCUUCCUUAGGCAUGAAUGUUUGCAAAAGAAUUUAACGUCUGAUUCUUCCCCCCUCCUCUUUUUAAAAAAGGAAGAACAUUUUUCAAAUCAACCCUCUGCUUCAUACCCCUAUCACAUGCACUUUAUAGGAUAGUCUUUAAAACAAGCCACAGGUUCUCUGCCCCAUGCACCUCGACUGGGAGCUGGGGUCUCCCACGAGUUGGCCCCCACCUCCGAAGUUGAUUUGUCUCCAUCAAGCAAGCCAGAUAUUAACUCUGAACCUUGUGGGGCUGUUCUAGGCUUUCUGGAAUCUCGGUGGUCGGAUGGGGGAGGGUCCGCAGUAUCCUUGUCAGGUAAAGGGAGGGGGGGGGGGUUGAGAACUUAAGUCUCCUAUCAUCCAGAACACCUCUCAAUAAAGCCUAAAAAACCCG